UGGAAUUGCUAGUAAUGGCAGGUCAGCAUACUGCCGUGAAUACGUUCCCGGGCCUUGUACACACCGCCCGUCACACCAUGAGAGUUGGGAAUACCCGAAGCCUGUGAGCUAACUGUAAGGAGGCAGCAGUCGAAGGUAGAAUCAAUGAUUGGGGUGAAGUCGUAACAAGGUAGC
RNAcentral lists this ribosomal RNA (174 nucleotides) under uncultured bacterium. Its description in RNAcentral is "partial 16S ribosomal RNA". It matches the Rfam family "Bacterial small subunit ribosomal RNA", at positions 1327 to 1500 of the family's 1533-position model. The record is from RNAcentral.